RNAcentral lists this ribosomal RNA (223 nucleotides) under uncultured bacterium. RNAcentral's name for it is "partial 16S ribosomal RNA". It matches the Rfam family "Bacterial small subunit ribosomal RNA", at positions 524 to 745 of the family's 1533-position model. The record is from RNAcentral.
GACAGAGGGUGCAAACGUUUGUUCGGAAUUACUGGGCGUAAAGCGUGUGUAGGCGGUCUUACAAGUCAGGUGUGAAAGCCCCGGGCUCAACCCGGGAAGUGCACUUGAUACUGUUUGACUUGAGUACUGGAGAGGUUGGUGGAAUUCUCGGUGUAGAGGUGAAAUUCGUAGAUAUCGAGAGGAACACCGGUGGCGAAGGCGGCCAACUGGACAGAUACUGACG